This 449-nucleotide ribosomal RNA is filed under the name uncultured bacterium. RNAcentral's name for it is "bacterial SSU rRNA". It matches the Rfam family "Bacterial small subunit ribosomal RNA", at positions 355 to 796 of the family's 1533-position model. The record is from RNAcentral.
UGGGGAAUUUUGGACAAUGGGGGAAACCCUGAUCCAGCCAUGCCGCGUGCGGGAAGAAGGCCUUCGGGUUGUAAACCGCUUUUGUCGGGGAAGAAAUCUUUCGAACUAAUACCUUGAGAGGAUGACGGUACCCGAAGAAUAAGCACCGGCUAACUACGUGCCAGCAGCCGCGGUAAUACGUAGGGUGCAAGCGUUAAUCGGAAUUACUGGGCGUAAAGCGUGCGCAGGCGGUUAUGCAAGACAGAUGUGAAAUCCCCGGGCUUAACCUGGGAACUGCAUUUGUGACUGCAUAGCUGGAGUACGGCAGAGGGGGAUGGAAUUCCGCGUGUAGCAGUGAAAUGCGUAGAUAUGCGGAGGAACACCGAUGGCGAAGGCAAUCCCCUGGGCCUGUACUGACGCUCAUGCACGAAAGCGUGGGGAGCAAACAGGAUUAGAUACCCCCGUAGUCC